CUGGUUCCGGGCAGUGCCAGGGGGGACAGCCCUGCCGCUGAGCAGCCAGGCCGAGCUGACGUGGGACAGCCUGCGGCCUUCCGACGCGGGGACAUACUACUGCGAGGCAGAGAACAGAGUCGGGGCAGGGGUGGUGCAGCGGAGCGAUGCCGUGGAGCUGGUGGUGAGAGGGUCCCCAGUCACACAGCCACCCACGCCUGGGACCAGCCGGCACACAGGACCCCCACUCCCCUCAGAAGGCAGCGAAGCUCCCCAUGCGCUGGGAGAUCUGUCCACAGCAACGCUGUCCGCCAGGAAUGAUGUCGUUUCAGAGAGGGCUCCCGCUGCCACAGGUGAGCAAGCCCCUUGGUGAAACACGCACGAUUUGCACGGGGAGGGGCAGGCUGGCAAACACUCCGCAGACCAGACACUGAAACCGACUGCCCCAUUUUGCAUUUUGCAUUGCUGCUGGGAGCAAACCCCGGGCCUGUCAAACGCAGGCAGGAGCUGCCCUCUCGGCCGCCCA
This 505-nucleotide long non-coding RNA is filed under the name Anas platyrhynchos platyrhynchos (common mallard). RNAcentral describes it as "lncRNA (ENSAPLG00000025487.1)". The record is from RNAcentral. Lineage: Eukaryota; Metazoa; Chordata; Aves; Anseriformes; Anatidae.